UGACAAAUUAUUUUGUGAAAUAAAUAAAAUAACCAAUUUAUUUAGACUGUGCAGUAACAUGUUGUUAUGGUUUAAUAAUUUAUUUGAAACUAAUAAUCAUAAAAAAGCCCUCUGGUGACGUCAGUCAUUGACAAGGACAUCGUCAUGGACCAGUGGUGAAGAGCCUCGAGAGAAGGUUAAUUUUUCGAAAGGAGAAGUCCACUAUUUCAGCUUCAUCAUUCAGCCUGGAAACUGAACUGCUUCAUAAAACUUGUGCUUGAAAAGUGUCAUGGGACCCAUAUUAAGUUUCCAAAUUUGGUCUGCUGCACACAAGUAGCUUUGAAGAAGAAGGAUCCCAGCUUAAAGAAAAACAUGUGUCACAUCCAUAAUUGUUUGACAUCAUCUUCAAGCACACCUGUGAGAAUAUUAAGGUCGUUGCUUAAAAAAAGUCCUGCAGAGAAGAAAUAUGUAUUGAAAGGUGUAAUUUUGCCUACAAGAUUCCUUGUUGCAAUGUCUUCAAAACAAAUGUAAAAAUGAAAGGAUUUCAGUGGUGAGCUCAAAUGAUGGGAUCAAAAUGAAGUGAACUGGACUCUGAGGGACUUCA
Molecule: non-coding RNA, 583 nt
Organism: Danio rerio (zebrafish)
Lineage: Eukaryota; Metazoa; Chordata; Actinopteri; Cypriniformes; Danionidae
Source: RefSeq, a predicted model, not a curated record